Molecule: ribosomal RNA, 329 nt
Filed under: uncultured eukaryote
Lineage: Eukaryota
Description: partial 18S ribosomal RNA
Rfam family: Eukaryotic small subunit ribosomal RNA
Source: RNAcentral
CCCUUAGAUGUCCUGGGCCGCACGCGCGCUACACUGAGUGUCUGAGAUACGAGUCUGCCUGGUCCGGCAAGGUCUAGGUAAUCGCUAAAAGACACAUCAUGCUUGGGAUAGAUUAUUGCAAAUAUUAAUCUUGAACGAGGAAUUCCUAGUAAGCGCAAGUCAACAGCUUGCGUUGAUUACGUCCCUGCCCUUUGUACACACCGCCCGUCGCUACUACUGAUUGGAUGUUUAAGCGAGGUUCUCGAACUGCUAGCGACUUAGCUUCGGUGAGGUCGCAGUGUGGGAAGUGAACCUAGCUUUGGUGUCUAGAGGAAGUAAGAGUCGUAACA